UUGUAAGCCAACUGACGACUGUCUUGCUAACGGUGGCUACUGCAUCAGAAACACUAAUAAAAAUGAUUGCGACGGCCUCCUGUUUCCAAAAGGAUGCUCAUCCGCCCUCUGUUCCUGCUGUGUAGAAGCUACACUGAAGCGGGACGAAUGCAAAGAGAUGCCCGAUUGUCUGCCCCAGAACAACCUCAGUGUGCCAAGAUAAAGACACAGGCUACGAGUGCGUUUGCAAUGCAGGUUCAAGACGACAGUAUGCGGAGAUGUAGAUGAAUGUCUAAACGAUCCGUGUGUAGACCCAAACUCCCACUGCGUCAACAAAGAAGGAAGUUACGAAUGCGAAUGUGACCAGGGAUAUGUUAGUGUCGGCGGCAUUUGCGAAUUAGAUGAAUGUCUAAGCGUCCAUGUGGAGACCCAAACUCCCACUGCAUCAACACAUCCGGAGGUUACAACUGUGAAUGUAACGAAGGAUACCACCAGGUUGAAGGCUGCGCACCAUUAAGGUGAAAUUCCAGGGCUGCUCCUCCUCCUCCUCCUCCUCCUCAUCGGCGGCGGCUCAGUGGAGGCUGAUUGGUGCUGCUGCUGCUGCUGUUGGGGGAAUUGAACGCAGUGUCACAACCAUCGGACGCAUCAACAGAGCAGACAUCACUGAUGACAGGACCUGAGAUAAAUGCAAACAAACCUUUAUGUUAUUACAAAAUAAGUUGGUACUAAUCAGAGUUUGGCUUCCAUUCCUUCAUUCUGUUUGUUACACGAAUCUCGUGAUAAAAAAUGAUUAUAAUAUAUAUA
Long non-coding RNA from Macrobrachium nipponense, 783 nucleotides. RefSeq lists it as uncharacterized. The record is from RefSeq and is a predicted model, not a curated record. The transcript has 5 exons. NCBI's taxonomy places the organism in Eukaryota, Metazoa, Arthropoda, Malacostraca, Decapoda, Palaemonidae.